UGGCUUCAUUAAUUCAGUUAUCCGUUUAUUUUGAUAGUACCUUACUACAUGGAUAACCGUGGUAAUUCUAGAGCUAAUACAUUGCUAAAGCCCCGAACUUGUCUAGGGGUGAAUUUAUUUAGAUUUCAAAACCCAAUUGCCCCUUCCGGGGCUCCUUUGGGUGAUUUCAUGAUAACUUGCUCGGAUUCGCAUUGGCCCUUUGUGCUUGGCGAUGGUUUCAUUUCAAAUUUUCUGCCCCUAUCAACUUUUCGAUGGCUGGGUCUUUGGCCCAGCCCAUGGUGACAACGGGUAACGGAGGGUUAGGGCUCGACCCCCGGAGAAAGGAGCCUGAGAAAACGGCUACUACAUCCCAAGGAAGGCAGCAGGCGCGCAAAAUUACCCCACUCUCAAAACGAGGAGGUAGUGACAAUACGUACUGAUACAGGGCUCUUUUGGGUCUUGUAAUUGGAAUGAGUACAAUUUAAAUCCCCUUAACGAGGAGCAAUUGCAGGGCAAGUCUGGUGCCAGCAGCCGCGGUAAUUUCCAGCUGCAAUAGCGUAUAUUAAAGUUGUUGAGGUUAAAAAGCUCGUAGUUGAAACUUGGGUCUGGCUGGCUGGUCCGCCUCAUCGCGUGCACUAGUCCGGCCGGGCCUUUCCCUCUGGGGAGCUGCAUGCCCUUUACUGGGUGUGUCAGGGAACCAGAACGUUUACUCUGAAUAAAUCAGAUCGCUUAAAGAAGGCCUAUGCUUGAAUGCUCUAGCAUGGAAUAAUGGAAUAGGACGUGUGGUUCUAUUUUUGUUGGUUUCUAGGACCGCCGUAAUGAUUAAUAGGGACAGUCGGGGGCAUCAGUAUUCAAUUGUCAGAGGUGAAAUUCUUGGAUUUAUUGAAGACUAACUACUGCGAAAGCAUUUGCCAAGGAUGUUUUCAUUAAUCAGGAACGAAAGUUAGGGGAUCGAAGACGAUCAGAUACCGUCGUAGUCUUAACCAUAAACUAUGCCGAUUAGGGAUCAGACAGUGUUAUUAUUGACCUGUUUGGCACCUU
RNAcentral lists this ribosomal RNA (1020 nucleotides) under Phyllachora sp. RNAcentral describes it as "bacterial SSU rRNA". It matches the Rfam family "Eukaryotic small subunit ribosomal RNA", at positions 91 to 1089 of the family's 1831-position model. Lineage: Eukaryota; Fungi; Ascomycota; Sordariomycetes; Phyllachorales; Phyllachoraceae. The record is from RNAcentral.